Molecule: transfer RNA, 65 nt
Filed under: Dipodomys ordii (Ord's kangaroo rat)
Lineage: Eukaryota; Metazoa; Chordata; Mammalia; Rodentia; Heteromyidae
Rfam family: tRNA
About the family: Transfer RNA (tRNA) molecules are approximately 80 nucleotides in length.
Source: Rfam by way of RNAcentral
GGUGACUCAGUGGUAGAGUGAUUGCCUUGCAUGCAUGAGGCCCUGGGUUCAAUUCCUCAGCACCA